CGGGAUGUAGCGCAGCCUGGUAGCGCGCGCGCAUGGGGUGCGUGAGGUCGCAGGUUCAAAUCCUGUCAUCCCGACAA
RNAcentral lists this transfer RNA (77 nucleotides) under Nonlabens ponticola. RNAcentral's name for it is "Nonlabens sp. MJ115 tRNA-Pro". It matches the Rfam family "tRNA". Rfam says of the family: Transfer RNA (tRNA) molecules are approximately 80 nucleotides in length. Lineage: Bacteria; Pseudomonadati; Bacteroidota; Flavobacteriia; Flavobacteriales; Flavobacteriaceae. The record is from RNAcentral.